GGUGCUGCCCCUUUUCUGCUGGUGUGCACUCGCUGGAGUUCCCCUUGCCGGACCGACGACUUGCUACCCUUGGAGAUCCACGAGCAAGCCGUGCUUAGGAAAGAAAAAAACAAAAAGAAGAAAAAGAAAGGAAAUUAGGUAGUUUUAUUUUCUUUUUUCAUUAAAUUUAUUUUAUUUAUUUCUUUUAAGUUUAGUUGUUAUUGUGUAAAUUUGAAGUGAUCUUCAUUUCAUGAAUUUU
Molecule: long non-coding RNA, 238 nt
Filed under: Eucalyptus grandis
Lineage: Eukaryota; Viridiplantae; Streptophyta; Magnoliopsida; Myrtales; Myrtaceae
Description: long non-coding RNA (EGRA_LNC003963)
Source: RNAcentral